This 406-nucleotide ribosomal RNA is filed under the name uncultured bacterium. RNAcentral describes it as "partial 16S ribosomal RNA". It matches the Rfam family "Bacterial small subunit ribosomal RNA", at positions 30 to 526 of the family's 1533-position model. The record is from RNAcentral.
AUUGAACGCUGGCGGCAGGCCUAACACAUGCAAGUCGAACGAGUGGCGGACGGGUGAGUAAUGUCUGGGAAACUGCCUGAUGGAGGGGGAUAACUACUGGAAACGGUAGCUAAUACCGCAUACCAUCGGAUGUGCCCAGAUGGGAUUAGCUAGUAGGUGGGGUAAAGGCUCACCUAGGCGACGAUCCCUAGCUGGUCUGCGAGGAUGACCGGCAACACUGGAACUGGGACCAGGUCCAGACUCCUAGGGGAGGCAGAAGUGGGGAAUAUUGCAAAAUGGGCGCAAGCCUGAUGAAGACAUGCCGCGUGUAUGAAGAGGGCCUUCGGGUUGUAAAGUACUUUCAGCGGGGAGGCGUUACCCGCAGAAGAAGCACCGGCUAACUCCGUGCCAGCCGCCGCGGUAAUUC